Molecule: ribosomal RNA, 465 nt
Filed under: uncultured bacterium
Lineage: Bacteria
Description: partial 16S ribosomal RNA
Rfam family: Bacterial small subunit ribosomal RNA
Source: RNAcentral
GACGAACGCUGGCGGCGUGCUUAACACAUGCAAGUCGAACGGAAAGGCCCCUUUGGGGGUACUCGAGUGGCGAACGGGUGAGUAACACGUGAGUAACCUGCCCUUGACUUCGGGAUAACUUCAGGAAACUGGGGCUAAUACCGGAUAGGAAUCCUUGCUGCAUGGUGGGGGUUGGAAAGCUUCGGCGGUUUUGGAUGGACUCGCGGCUUAUCAGCUUGUUGGUGGGGUAGUGGCUUACCAAGGCUUUGACGGGUAGCCGGCCUGGGAGGGCGACCGGCCACAUUGGGACUGAGAUACGGCCCAGACUCCUACGGGAGGCAGCAGUGGGGAAUAUUGCACAAUGGGCGGGAGCCUGAUGCAGCAACGCCGCGUGCGGGAUGACGGGCUUCGGGUUGUAAACCGCUUUCAGCAGGGGAGAAGCUUGUGGUGACGGUACCUGCAGAAGAAGCACCGGCUAACUACGUG